CCAGUCUUGGGUUUGGGGGUUUCCCGGCAGGAGGACACGGACCCAAGGACACUCCAUCCCAGAGGGGGCCCAGCCUGGAGAUCCGUGCAUCCCUGGACUUCCUGGGGGGGAUCGACGAAGACAAAGAGAGAGGGACCGAGUAAGGGAGAGCCCCGGUGAAGGGAAGAAGAGGUGGAGUGAACUGGGAUCUUCUUAGCGAAGAUUGACG
Molecule: long non-coding RNA, 208 nt
Organism: Herpailurus yagouaroundi (jaguarundi)
Lineage: Eukaryota; Metazoa; Chordata; Mammalia; Carnivora; Felidae
Exons: 3
Source: RefSeq, a predicted model, not a curated record